This 331-nucleotide long non-coding RNA is filed under the name Heterocephalus glaber (naked mole-rat). Its description in RNAcentral is "lncRNA (ENSHGLG00000043410.1)". Lineage: Eukaryota; Metazoa; Chordata; Mammalia; Rodentia; Bathyergidae. The record is from RNAcentral.
CAAAAUCUCUUCAGGUUUUGUGUUGGUCAGAACAUAUUUGUGCUACAGCUAGGUUUAUCAGAGCAAUACAAAAAGACAUAAUGGCGGGUUGAUUUGGACCAUUUUAUUUUUGUCCUUCCCCAAACCAUCUGGCGUGUGAGUGUAGGGGUAUUGAUCAGGAUCUGUGAGCUGCAGACCCCAUGCCAAUCCAUAGCGUUUCUGGCAAUCAGCGUCGCCCAUGAAUUGCAGCUGUUCUGUGCAGCUCCCGAACAGAAAUCUUCAAAAAAAGUCCCCCCCUUAUCAAACACAUCAUCCAUUCGGGGGUCCCUCUCUCCCAGAUGGUCCUGAGUGC